Molecule: ribosomal RNA, 2292 nt
Filed under: Triticum aestivum (bread wheat)
Lineage: Eukaryota; Viridiplantae; Streptophyta; Magnoliopsida; Poales; Poaceae
Description: partial small subunit ribosomal RNA
Source: RNAcentral
AUGGAUAUACAAACUUAUUGCAACAGCUUACCUAAAGAGGCAUACUUGGAGGAUCAAAGGAAACCUGAAUGGUUUGAAGUAGAUCGUGCCAUUGCAUGCCGCCGGAAGUUUGGUUAUGAUGGUUUAUGUGACGUCCUGGCUAGUUUUGAUAAUAAUGCAGAUUUUGAGGGAUACGAGUUCCUCGUGAAAUGGAAAGGACUUGACUAUUGUGAUGCUACAUGGGAGCCGUAUUUCACGGAAGGCGUGCCAUCAGCUGUUUCUAUGCUUGUCCAAAGGCAUAAAAAUACUGUACGAAGCCCGAUGAACAUUGAUGUGAUGGUCCCAGAAAAUGCACUAUACAAUUACCAGGUUCAAGGGUUACAAUGGAUUCUUGACAAUUUCAAAUCUAGGAGGAGCGUUAUUCUUGCUGAUGAAAUGGGUCUUGGCAAAACUGUCCAAGUUGUUUGCUUUCUCAACCGCAUAAUCAAGGGAAGUCUGACCACAUCUCCUGCAUUGGUCAUUGUUCCCAAGAGCAUCCUACUGCAAUGGGAAAAGGAAUUUGAUCGCUGGGCACAUGAUCUUAGUAUUGUUGUUUACCAAGGAGAUAAGGACUCCAGAAAGUGUAUUCAAGCUCAUGAACUGUACUCUUCCAAAGGGAAGACUCUGUUUGAUGCUCUAGUGACAAGUUAUGAGAUUGUCCAAAUUGAUAAAGCAGUUCUAAAAAAGAUUAAGUGGUCAACGAUUGUCAUUGAUGAGGCUCACAGAUUGAAGACGCUUGAUUGUAAUCUUGCAUCCUGCCUAAAGAAAUUUAGCUCAGAUUUCUGGUUGCUACUUACAGGAACACCAUUCCAAAAUAACGUCCUGGAGUUGUUUUCAUUGCUUCAUUAUAUUGAUCCAAAUGAGUUCUCUGACCCAAAGGAUGAUCCAUUGUUCUCACCAAUUGAAUCUGAGCGGGGUCUGACAAUAGAUGAAAAAAUUGCCCGCAUUCCUGAGAUUUUAAAGCCUAGGAUGUUGAGGAGAUUGAAAGCUAAUGUGCUAAAAGAUUCUAUGCCAACAAAAAAGUGGGUAGAAGUUCCGUGUGCGCUCACAGAUUCUCAGAGAGAUCUUUACAUUAAUAUUCUAGAGAAGAACUACUCAGAGUUGAACAGUGCUAUUCAGGAUGGUACGAAGCGUUCUCUGAACAACGUACUAAUGGAACUGCGAAAAUGCUGCAAUCAUCCGUAUUUGUUUACAGGAUUGGAUGUUAAACAACAUGCAGGAGAAGAUGUUCUCCAAUCACUAGUUUCUGCAUCAGGGAAACUUCAACUCUUACAGAAGUUGCUCCCAAAAUUGAAAGAGAGAGGGAACCGUGUAUUGAUUUUCUCCCAGAUGAAGAAGAUGCUUGAUAUUCUCGAGGACUUCCUUUCUUUCCUGGGAUACACAUAUGCACGCAUUGAUGGACAGACAACACUCUUUGAGAGGCAGGAGAGCAUAAAAGAAUACAACAACGCUGAAAGUGGAACAUUUAUUUUCUUGAUGUCAACUCGUGCUGGUGGUAUAGGUAUUGACCUGCCUGGUGCUGAUAGAGUAAUUAUAUAUGAUCCAGACUUCAAUCCAUUUAUGGACUUGCAAGCACAGUCCAGGGCUCACCGGAUUGGCCAGACCCGACCGGUGGUUGUUUACCAGCUUAUCACAAAAUGUUCUGUUGAAGCGAAGAUAUUGCAGAAGUCUAAGCAGAAGCUGGCCAUUGAAAAUAUUUUAAUGAACUCUUCCAAGAAGCCGCCAAGUGCAGAUGAGCUGAAGUCCAUUCUACUACAUGGAGCCAAGAUAAUUCAGGACAAAAAGGAGAUUAAAGCUGUAUCAAUCCAUUAUGAUGACGAUGCCAUUGAGAAUCUCCUCAAGCUAGACCCUUCUAGUGAUGAGAUGUGCACUAAAGAUGGCAACGGUUAUCUCGGUGGCAUCGAGAGCUUUCCUCAUGGUGCCGAGGACGUAGUACCUCCCUCCCCCAAGGUUGAGGAUUUAAAAGUAUUCAAGCCUGCCACUCCCAAGGUGGAUCUUGGCCGCGGGAGAAGGCACAGGAACGUCGUGAAGUAUUUCGAGGAGACGGACAAUGAAGACAGCGAUGACAUCUACGCUCCAGAGGCUUCCUCCGAGUCCAGUAGCUCUUCCUCUGAUGAUGAAACAGAUGAAGAAAUUCCUGAAGUAGCACGAGCUAGAACUGAAAUAGACAUGAAAGCUGAAACAGUGAGCGUUGUGAAGCCAGAAGUAGCUCCCAUUCCUGGCAACCCCUUUGACUUCCUCAGAGUCAGAGUCCGGCAGCUCUUCCUCGGAUGA